Molecule: RNA transcript, 2226 nt
Organism: Prosopis cineraria
Lineage: Eukaryota; Viridiplantae; Streptophyta; Magnoliopsida; Fabales; Fabaceae
Exons: 4
Source: RefSeq, a predicted model, not a curated record
GAAUUAACUUAAAAGUUUUACAAUAAUAGUACUAGUGAGUAGAUUUUGGAGAUUUGGCAUUUGGAAAGGAAUGAAAAAAGUUGCUGGCUACCACGUGUGCAUUACUAAGGUUUGGAAGGUUCCUUUGAUCCGGUCCCUAGAAUUUGGUUGUUUCUGUGGAAAUUUUUCCCAAAAAAAAAAAAAUUCUGCCUGCAUUUACAACUUUAUAAGGCGGCAUAACUUCAGUUGAUCCACUUUGUGCCUUCCGUCAGCUGCAAGAAGAAAGCUGAGACCAUAUUUUAUUUUCUUGUCAGAUUUCUCUUGUUGCUUGAUUUGGAUCUUAUCUUGGUGUUAAAAGUGAGGAGGUAAUGAAGACUAGGAAAAGUCUGCAAAUGAUUCCUCACCAGUAGAUUCAGCCUCAUGACUCCACUUCUCGUCUUUUCUUGAAAUUUUGGAAUUUUGGAAGCUUUCAUUAUCUCUUCCCUCUCUAUUGGUUGACGGUGGUGUGUUAAUUGCUAUGCUCUAGGAAAUCUUUGCUGUUAAGGGUUCAAAUUUGGGGUAUUUUACUAGCUAUCGACAUUAUUCAUUCAUUCUAUUAAUCAAAUCUACCCUUGAGUUGAUGGUAUGGAAAUCUGCAACCCAAUGGUGGUUGCUAUAGACGUCCUCGUCUGUUUGAGUCAUCUCUCCUGUUUUUCCAUUCCAAGGAAAAGGAGGUGGCAUCAAAAGAGGAAGAGGGAGAAUGAUGGCAUCGUAUCAAGGGAGUAGAAGGAAGUAGAAGAGGGCACAAGGAAACAACCCCAAACGAGAUCUCAUCUACCUUGAACAACUCCCUGUAAAGGCACUAACACUCUCAUGGCAGUUCCUCCACUAUGAUGAUGACAACACAGAUAUGGCCUGUUAUCUUUCCUCUGAUUGCAGGCUCAAUGGGUUUUGGGUCAUUGUAGAACCAUGGGAAUGUUGCUGCUUUGAUAUUGGCAUCAACUAGGAUUCUCAUUUACAACGCCUUUGCUAAAGAAGAACAUUAAGGACGUCACUGCUAAAGGAGAAUGCAUGGGCAAUAUUGUGGAUCUGGUAUCUAUUGCAGAUUAUAAUUUCAAAUCAAACCUUGCUGGGGAUUUUUCUUCUGCAGGGAGAUAUUGGUAAGCAUCUAUGUACGGUGACAUUAUUUAUAGGGAGAAUAUCAGUAAAAGAUCCCGGAAGCAAUUUAAUUUAUAAAAAGAAUGCUGGUAAAUAAACAUUAAAAUUAUAAAGUUUUUAUUUUAACAAGUAAUCGAUCUGUUUAGGUCUUUAUCAGAAAGUAAAUUCUUCCAGAAGCCUUUCAUUCAUAAUUCAAUUGUUGAAAUAUCUCUGAUCUAUGCUUUUCUUACAUUAUAAAAUUCAUUCUGAUGAUUUCGCCUUUGACUGCACAUGAAUUGAUCAUUAUGAUUUUUCCAAAAUAUGUUUUAGGAUAAUAUGGAUAAGUAAGAUUAUAGGGAUGAGUAAAGGAUUUUAAGAAGGGGAAUAAGCCUCGCUCACUUUUUCUUCAUGAUAUGAGAUCCAUUACCCAUUGUCAGAACAAGGUUGUCAUGAUCGAUGUCUGUUGAAAGCUCAUAUAUUUAUUAUUAGUCCAUACACAAUUUUUCCUCCUUCCUUCUCUUGACCGAAUCCUCCUUCCCCUGGCUUUUGAUUUUGACAUGUCAAAAUCUUUGCUGCUUUAUUUUUUUUAUUUUUAUAACUUUCUGUAGUUAAGUUCCUUUCUAUUCCUCAUAUAGUCUACUGAUAAUGCUCUCAAAUGAACGAGCAAAUAGUUAUCUUUUUCUUUCUCCUGUUAUCAUUAGUUUGAUUGAAUGAGAAACUGAUUCAGCAAUGCACCGUGCUGCUUCAAUAUUCAUUCUUCUUCUUCUUCCCUCUUGCGCUUUUAUUUUUCUUUUAGAGGAGAUUUUUUAGAAGAUAUUUGAGCCUGAAAUGUCAAGGUUGUAACAGUCGGAAGUUGAAAGGCAAAUUCAUAGUGCAAGAAAAUAGCUUUGAUCUGAGUCUUGACAUAUUGGUAGGUGAUUCCAGAGAGAAAUGGAGAAUGGGAGUGCACACUUCAAAAUAAUAUGUAUAAAAGUUUACAUGAUUUAAGUAGAUACUUGGAGCGAGAAGAUUUUGUUAUGAUGGUUGUAGAUCAGAAUCCUAGGUUUAUUUUUAUUUUUAUUUUUAUAAAUGCAUGAAUAUUAUAUCAUACACAAAUCAAAAACACAGUUAACUCAACAAAGCAUGAGCAAU